UAGGGAAUCUUCCACAAUGGACGCAAGUCUGAUGGAGCAACGCCGCGUGAGUGAAGAAGGUUUUCGGAUCGUAAAGCUCUGUUGUUGGUGAAGAAGGAUAGAGGCAGUAACUGGUCUUUAUUUGACGGUAAUCAACCAGAAAGUCACGGCUAACUACGUGCCAGCAGCCGCGGUAAUACGUAGGUGGCAAGCGUUGUCCGGAUUUAUUGGGCGUAAAGCGAGCGCAGGCGGAAUGAUAAGUCUGAUGUGAAAGCCCACGGCUCAACCGUGGAACUGCAUCGGAAACUGUCAUUCUUGAGUGCAGAAGAGGAGAGUGGAAUUCCAUGUGUAGCGGUGGAAUGCGUAGAUAUAUGGAAGAACACCAGUGGCGAAGGCGGCUCUCGGGUCUGCAACUGACGCUGAGGCUCGAAAGCAUGGGUAGCGAACAGG
RNAcentral lists this ribosomal RNA (429 nucleotides) under bacterium. RNAcentral's name for it is "partial 16S ribosomal RNA". It matches the Rfam family "Bacterial small subunit ribosomal RNA", at positions 355 to 776 of the family's 1533-position model. The record is from RNAcentral.